This 477-nucleotide ribosomal RNA is filed under the name uncultured bacterium. Its description in RNAcentral is "partial 16S ribosomal RNA". It matches the Rfam family "Bacterial small subunit ribosomal RNA", at positions 28 to 523 of the family's 1533-position model. The record is from RNAcentral.
GAUGAACGCUGGCGGCGUGCCUUAUACAUGCAAGUCAAACGGGUGUAGCAAUACACCAGUGGCGAACGGGUGAGUAAUACAUAGGUACUUUGCCUUGGCGGAGGAUAACCAGCCGAAAGGUUGGAUAAUACUCCAUGUGAUCGCAAGAUCAAAGUCGCAAGACACCAAGGAAUAGGCCUGUGUCCUAUCAGCUUGUUGGCGGGGUAAAAGCCCACCAAGGCUAUGACGGGUAGCUGGUCUGAGAGGAUGAUCAGCCACACUGGGACUGAGACACGGCCCAGACUCCUACGGGAGGCAGCAGUGGGGAAUUUUGGACAAUGGGCGCAAGCCUGAUCCAGCAAUGCCGCGUGCAGGAUGAAGGCCUUCGGGUUGUAAACUGCUUUUGUACGGAACGAAAAGCUCUGGGUUAAUACCUCGGGGUCAUGACGGUACCGUAAGAAUAAGCACCGGCUAACUACGUGCCAGCCGCCGCCGUAA